CUACGGGUGGCACCAGUGAGGAAUAUUGCGCAAUGGGGGAAACCCUGACGCAGCGACGCCGCGUGGAUGAUGAAGGUCUUCGGAUCGUAAAAUCCUGUCAGAUGGGAAGAAAUGCUAUAUGUCUAAUAUAUGUAUAGUUUGACGGUACCAUCAAAGGAAGCACCGGCUAACUCCGUGCCAGCAGCCGCGGUAAUACGGAGGGUGCAAGCGUUGUUCGGAAUUACUGGGCGUAAAGCGCGCGUAGGCGGUCUGUUAAGUCAGAUGUGAAAGCCCAUGGCUCAACCAUGGACGUGCAUUUGAUACUGACAGACUUGAGUACUGGAGGGGAUGGUGGAAUUCCCGGUGUAGAGGUGAAAUUCGUAGAUAUCGGGAGGAAUACCGGUGGCGAAGGCGACCAUCUGGCCAGAUACUGACGCUGAGGUGCGAAAGCGUGGGGAGCAAACAGGAUUAGAUACCCGCGUAGUC
RNAcentral lists this ribosomal RNA (465 nucleotides) under uncultured bacterium. RNAcentral describes it as "partial 16S ribosomal RNA". It matches the Rfam family "Bacterial small subunit ribosomal RNA", at positions 339 to 795 of the family's 1533-position model. The record is from RNAcentral.